GCGUAAGCGCGCGCAGGCGGUUUCUUAAGUCUGAUGUGAAAGCCCACGCCUCAACCGGGGAGGGGCAUUGGAAACUGUGGGAACUUGAGUCGCGAAGAGAGAGGCGGAAUUCCACGUGUAGCGGUGAAAUGCGUAGAGAUGUGGAGGAACACCAGUGGCGAAGGCGGCUUUUUGGUCUGUAACUGACGCUGAGGCGCGAAAGCGUGGGGAGCAAACAGGAUUAGAUACCCUGGUAGUCCACGCCGUAAACGAUGACUGCUAGGUGUUAGAGGGCUUCCGCCCUUUAUUGCUGCACCUAACGCAUUAAUCACUCGGCCGGGGGAGUACGGUCGCAAGACUGAAACUCAAUGGAUUUGACGGGGGCCCCCACAACCGGGGAACCUUGUGGUUUAUUUCAAACCAACCCAAAAAACCUUCCCGGGUCUUGACUGCCUGGGACAUCUCUAAA
RNAcentral lists this ribosomal RNA (448 nucleotides) under Priestia megaterium. RNAcentral's name for it is "bacterial SSU rRNA". It matches the Rfam family "Bacterial small subunit ribosomal RNA", at positions 558 to 1004 of the family's 1533-position model. The record is from RNAcentral. Lineage: Bacteria; Bacillati; Bacillota; Bacilli; Caryophanales; Bacillaceae.